AUGCCUAAGUCUAAAGCUAAGACGAGACAUUUGAAGGGCGAAACCAAAUCGCGCUAUAAACUGUGUGUUCCUCCAUGCCAGCGCUACAUCACGGCUGGGGACACACAUGAUUUAUGCGUGGUUUGCCUGGGAUCGGAGCACGCUGAGUCGGCUCUCGAGGGAGCCGACUGCCCGCAUUGUGAACGAUUGCCAAUGCGGGCGCUUCGAUCCCGGAGGGCUCUCUUCGAGGAGGGAGCCUUCGCCAGCGUUCCCCGCGGCUCUGGCCCCGCUUCUGCUGAGGCAGAGCGGCUGCUGCACUCGUGGGGUUCGCAGGUGGAUCUGGCAGAGGGAAUGGAGACGGGCACGUCCUUAUCUCCUUCCUCAUCUGCUAGAUCUGGCGCCCAAACCCUGGGAUCGGAAGCACGCUCGUCGGUUUCUUCCGCCCAGGGCGAGGGGUCGACACUCCACCUCUCUUCGUCUGAUGAGGUGGAUGUGGAGACAGUUGGCAGGGAUUCGCCACCCCUUUCGCCCCAGUAUGAGGAGCUGCUGGAGGUGGUAACUCGCGCAGUCGAGAAGUUAAAAAUAGACUGGCCCCCACAAAAAUCACAUGAACCGCAGAGAAGUAAAUUAGAUGAGCGGUAUCUCAGGCCCAGACAACCACCUCCAGCCCGGAGCCUUCCCUUUUUUCCCGACCUCCAUGAUGAGAUAGCGAGGUCGUGGAAACAUCCAUAUUCCACCCGUCUUUUCGGCCCUGAUUCGCAGUAUUAUGGGAAUGUGACAGGGCUCGAUGAGCGUGGUUACAGAGCGAUGCCACGGGUUGAACAGACGCUUGCGGGCUAUCUGUCACCCGGUUCGGCGUCGUCUCUGAAGGCUCCGGCCUUGCCUACUAAAGCAUUAAGAACGACAUCAGGGUUAGUGGGCAAGGGCUAUGUGGCAGCAGGUCAGGCAGGGGCGUGCCUUCACACCAUGGCCGUCCUUCAAGCAUAUCAGGCCGACCUGUUGAGAGAUGUAGACGAGGGAGAGGGGAUCAAGUCCGACGAUAUUGCAGAACUUAGACGGACCGCUGAUCUCUCCCUCCGCGCCACCAAAGAGACCGCUCGCGCAAUUGGGCGGUCUAUGGCAGCCUUGGUGGCCGCGGAGAGGCAUUUAUGGCUGAACCUGUCCCAAAUUAAAGACCGUGACAGGUUCUGCCUCCUGGACGCCCCGCUCCAAGCCUCGGGCCUGUUCGGCGACACAGUCAAUACUGUCGUCGACAGGUUCCAGGAGGCCCGUAAACAGGCGGCGGCGUUCCAGAGUUUCCUCCCUCGUCGCUCUUGUGGGUUAUCUGGACGGGAGAUACCCACGCCACUAGCAGGCUCCUCAUACCGCGAGGCUCAAAAGCAGAGCGUCGCCACUCGUGCUCCCCCACGCCGGGACCGAGGGUCUAAGCGACGCUCUGAGUCGGGGGCUCCUAGAUUAAAAUCAGACCUUCGUACUAUUAUCGAAGCUAGGAAGUCCUCGACAAAGAGGUCCUGA
Molecule: long non-coding RNA, 1494 nt
Filed under: Carassius auratus (goldfish)
Lineage: Eukaryota; Metazoa; Chordata; Actinopteri; Cypriniformes; Cyprinidae
Description: lncRNA (ENSCARG00000007145.1)
Source: RNAcentral